CAUUCACGGGAGAUUACAGGGCCAGGUUAGACUCUGCAGUAUGUUGAACCCAAACGAACGGUUUAUACUCGUAUUGGUGUUUACUACGAAUGGGAGUGGCAGAGAUUAGGGCCCUGAGUUUUUCAUUUAUAGGUCAGGUUUAACAAUAUUCUGCAGCAUAUAUUGAAAGCCACCUCAUUCCCAGCCGGCAAUUACACGAUUGCAGUGAUCUGCGUGUCGAAGUACAGUCAGUUUGUGAGCAGAACUUGGACAGCUGACGAAUAAAUUGGUCGUGCGUGUGAGUCAUCACUUCGUUUGUAUUACGUAUAAUUUCUGUGAGGUACAACGUCGCCGUUAAUGAAGGAAACGAAAGGAAGACGGAAAAAUGAGCAUUAUAUUUGACACUACACACAAAGUGAUCUUCUGCAGUUCAAGUGAUUGUCGACAGCAGUUUCCUCGAUUUUUAAGGAAAAAUUUGUAUCCGUAUGAAAGGGUGUCAACAUCUGUAUUGCCAGGAAGCGAAGUAUUGUACUUU
Cryptotermes secundus is the source of this 514-nucleotide long non-coding RNA. RefSeq lists it as uncharacterized. The record is from RefSeq and is a predicted model, not a curated record. Lineage: Eukaryota; Metazoa; Arthropoda; Insecta; Blattodea; Kalotermitidae. The transcript is spliced from 3 exons.